AUUGAACGCUGGCGGCAUGCUUUACACAUGCAAGUCGAACGGUAACAGGCCUUCGGGUGCUGACGAGUGGCGAACGGGUGAGUAAUGCAUCGGAACGUACCCAGAGGUGGGGGAUAACGCAGCGAAAGCUGUGCUAAUACCGCAUGUGAUCUGAGGAUGAAAGCGGGGGACCGAGCAGCAAUGUUUGGCCUCGCGCCUUUGGAGCGGCCGAUGUCGGAUUAGCUAGUUGGUGGGGUAAAAGCCUACCAAGGCGACGAUCCGUAGCUGGUCUGAGAGGACGACCAGCCACACUGGGACUGAGACACGGCCCAGACUCCUACGGGAGGCAGCAGUGGGGAAUUUUGGACAAUGGGCGCAAGCCUGAUCCAGCAAUGCCGCGUGCGGGAAGAAGGCCUUCGGGUUGUAAACCGCUUUUGGCAGGAACGAAACGGUGUCCGCUAAUACCGGGCGCUAAUGACGGUACCUGCAGAAUAAGCACCGGCUAACUACGUG
Molecule: ribosomal RNA, 492 nt
Filed under: uncultured bacterium
Lineage: Bacteria
Description: partial 16S ribosomal RNA
Rfam family: Bacterial small subunit ribosomal RNA
Source: RNAcentral